Molecule: long non-coding RNA, 3489 nt
Filed under: Vitis vinifera (wine grape)
Lineage: Eukaryota; Viridiplantae; Streptophyta; Magnoliopsida; Vitales; Vitaceae
Description: long non-coding RNA (VVIN_LNC002414)
Source: RNAcentral
CCUUGCCUUGUCCUAAAAAAAUCCUAGCAUUUGUUUCCUGCCACACAACCCAAAUCAAAGCAAUACAAGUGGUUUGCCACAACACUAGGCCUCUCCUGGAGCUUCCUAAUCCCUUAUAUUUAAUGGUCAUCAUGUCACAAAUACUCUUUAGGGGAACUCGAUCCAUCUUGGCCAAAUUUAAUAAUCUGUGCCAUAACCCCAUUGUUAAAGGACAAUGAAGGAAGAGAUGAUCUACUAAAUCUCCAUGCUACAUACACAACUUAUAGAUAUUAGGACUGGGGGCUUUGUAUGGUCUUCUCAAUUGUAGUAUGUCAUUGGUGUUUACUUUCUUGUGUGCCACUAAUUAGGCAAAGGACUUGACCUUAAUAGAGACUUGAGAUUUCCAAACAAAAUUAGUAGGGAAUAUUUUGGUGUAUUUUAAAAGAGCGUAAUUGAAGGACUUUCAAAGACGAAGAACUUUUAGAUCAAUGAUUGAAGGAUUGAAUUUUUCAUUCAGUCGCUCUUAGAGUGGUCCCGAUAUUCAUUUGGAUUAGAGAACCCUUUAUUUUGAAUUUCGUAGAGUAGGGUGCACCCUCCUCUUUUUGGUGCUUCUUAAUACAUGCUUUUGUUUAUUAAAACAAAAAAAAUUAUACAAUUGAGAAGACCUUUCAAAUCCCCUAGGCCUAAUUGAUGUGUUUUAAGUAAGGAAAGCGGAGAGUAUAUUGAUCAUUUUUUAUUUUUUAUUUUUACAUUGUUUGAUAACUUUAGGGCUAUAGCAUUGUCUAUUCAAAGAAGUCAAGAUUAAUUAGGUUCCACUCAAGAGUAUAUGAGAUAUAAUGAUCAUUUUAUAUAGGGGUUUGGGAGAGCUUUAGUAGAGGCAAGACCUUUUGGCACAUAGCUUGUCACACAUUGCUUUGAAUUGUGUGGUAAAAGAGAUAUGUCAAAAUUUUUAAGGAAGAGUGGAGGAUGAUAGAGGGUUAUGGGAUUUAGUCGACUUCUAUUCCUCUUUUUGAGCCUUGUGCACCGAGGCUGUUAAAGGCAUUCCUCACAGUGUUAUCUAACUCAAUUGGCUUAUGGUGUGUAAAUCAAAAGGUUUUGGACAUCCUUGAGAGGAGUUGCGUUUGUAGUCUAAACCUUUGUAUAAACGCCUUGUAUGGUAGAGGGGGUUAAUCAUAUUAUGAUUGAGUUUUUUUAGUAAUUAUGGGGAGGACUCCUUCUCAUGUUUAAAUAAUCUUUUAGGUGCUCCCUUCUAAGGUGGAAGAGUUGUCAUUGUGAUGACAUGAGAGUUUUGUGGGGAAAAGUUGUAGGAUGUAUGGAGAGUUGCUUCUUUGUGCCUGUUUCAAACAAUUUGAGAGGAACAAAAUUGAAGAUAUUUUGAAGGAGUUGAGUGGUAAGAAAAUGACAAAAAAAGGGAAUGGAUUACUAGAGGGGUGAGGGAUUCUUUUAGGAUAAGCCUUUGAAAAGACAUUAGAAAAGGGUGAGAAGAUUUUAGUGUUAGAAUUUCUAUUUGAAUGGGAAAUGGUAGAUGUGUAGACUUAUGGGAAAGAGAAGGGGGUAGAGCGGGGGGGCAUUGGGAGAUUCAAUUUAGAAGACUCUUCCAAGAUUAAGAGAUAGAAGAGGUAGAAGAGGUUACCCAUUUUUUAGAGCUUCUUCACUUGUUGAAUGUGCAAGAAAGAGAUGACACAUUAAUUUAGAAAGAUGAUUGAAGGGGAAUUUUCAAUGUCAAGUUGUUUUACACUUCCCUUAAGGAUUAGAAUAACUUAAGUUUUCCAAGCAAAGAGAUCUAGGGAUCCUAUACUCCUCUUAGAACUUUUUUUUUUUUUUGUUUGGGAAGAUAUUUUUUUGGGAAGAUCUUAAUUGUAGAUACUUUAAUGAAGAGGGGAUGGAAAAUGACUAAUAGAUAUAGCCUUUGUAAAGGCAGUGAAGAUCAAAUGAUCACAUUUUGAUUCAUUAUGACAAGACUAGAAACCUAUGGACCUUUUUGUUAGCAGUUUUUGGUGUGGUUUGGGUGUUUCUAGCUUCAGUGAGAAAUCUCCUCCUAGCAUGGAAAUUUAAGGGGCUAAAUAAGAAGAAAAGAGCAAUUUGGCGCUUGGUUCUGAUUUGCUUGUUUUGGUGUAUUUGAAAAGAGCAUAAUUGAAGGAAUUUUGAAGACGAAGAGCGUUCAGGUCUAAGAUUUAAUGAUUUCUUGAUACGAUUGCUUUUAGAGUGGUCCUAAAAUUCUUUAGAGUUGGAGAACCCCUCUAUGUUGAAUUUCUUAGAUGCUCUUUAUUGUGGUUAGAACCUUGCCUUGUUUUUGUAGGCUAACUUUGUUUGAUGCCUUUUUUGGGCUGUUUUGUGUAUACUACCUAUAUACAUAGGUUACGCCCCUCUUUUUAGACGCUUCUUAAUAGAUGUUUUUGUUGUUUAUAAAAAAAAAAGAUCUCAUGUGUAAGGAUAAAAUAUUGGUUUUUAUGGAAAUAUUGGUGGUUGGAUUUUGUGGAUAUAUCGAUGGUUGGAUUUUAUUAAUGUAUCGAGAUAUGUUAAAAAAUGUUGACGGAAGUUUUGAUAAAAAAUAUUUAUGGGACAAAAAUUAAUCAAAACUUGUAGAAAUGUUAGGGAAAACUAAAAAAAAUGAUAUUACAACUUAAAUAAUACAAAUAUUAAAGUUGUUUUAUUGAAGAAAACCAUCUAUGAUAUAUUUGCCGCAUUCACUUAUAAUGUACAAAAUCUAGAACACAUUUACUAAGCAUAUUUAAUAAAAAGUUAAAAGGAAUUUAAAAAUAAUAUAAUUAAAAUUAAUUAAUUUAUUAUUACUGCUUUUUUUCCGUAAAGGUGGUGAUUGAGAAUGCCUUUAAAAUGAUUAUCUUUAUAGUAUUCAAGAGAUAAAAGAAAUGAUAAUCUAUGUAUGUAUUGUAAUGAUUAAAAAUAUUAACAAUUUUAUGUACAAGUUAUGUUUUUCUUGUAUUUAUAUAAGGAAAGACUCGUUAAUAAGAUUAUUAUGAUUUUUUAUGUUUUUAAUAAUAUGUUAAAUGAAAUUCCAAAAAAAAAAAAAAAAAUUAAUAUAAUUGAAGUUAAAGUUUAAGAGGGACAGAUAAAGUUUAUUUACAAUUGUAUCCAUUUAUAUAUUUUAUGGCCAAGUUGCCUAAUUGGUUAGCAAUAUAUCAUCAUGCUAGAGACUUGGGUUCGAAUCCUAGCUCUCCUUCAUUUUCAUUUUAGGCUUGCGUUGACUGGUCAAAGUGCCUUUAGAUGGUGAAAAAAUCGACGAAACUCUGAUAGAAUGGGAAAAAAACUCAAAAAAUUGGUAGAUAGGUACUGCAAGAUAUGUUGUGUUGAUGGGCCCUGACACUUGAUAUAUCCUCAUGUAUUGCCAAUAUUUGAUGGCAUUUUCAUCCUUGCUCAUUUGCACCCAUUUCCAUGGUUUCAGCCUCCUCAAGCUAGUCAUUCUACUGUUUUAGAUUUUAUUGAUUAGUUGGAUUGUCAAGUGGAGUUGUUUUUUGUCUCCUCUCCAUGUAUUGGUGUCAUUUGUAUACC